RNAcentral lists this ribosomal RNA (253 nucleotides) under uncultured bacterium. RNAcentral describes it as "partial 16S ribosomal RNA". It matches the Rfam family "Bacterial small subunit ribosomal RNA", at positions 524 to 776 of the family's 1533-position model. The record is from RNAcentral.
UACGUAGGGGGCAAGCGUUGUCCGGAUUUAUUGGGCGUAAAGAGCGUGUAGGCGGCCUGGAAGGUCAGCUGUGAAAACUCGAGGCUCAACCUCGAGACGUCGGUUGAAACCACCUGGCUAGAGUCCGGAAGAGGAGAGUGGAAUUCCCGGUGUAGCGGUGAAAUGCGCAGAUAUCGGGAGGAACACCAGUGGCGAAGGCGGCACUCUGGGCCGGAACUGACGCUGAGGAGCGAAAGCGUGGGGAGCGAACAGG